Molecule: signal recognition particle RNA, 99 nt
Filed under: Ruminiclostridium sp.
Lineage: Bacteria; Bacillati; Bacillota; Clostridia; Eubacteriales; Oscillospiraceae
Also listed under: 1 other name
Description: signal recognition particle sRNA small type
Rfam family: Bacterial small signal recognition particle RNA
About the family: The signal recognition particle (SRP) is a universally conserved ribonucleoprotein involved in the co-translational targeting of proteins to membranes. Archaeal SRP consists of a 7S RNA and homologues of the eukaryotic SRP19 and SRP54 proteins. In most bacteria, the SRP consists of a 4.5S RNA and the Ffh protein (a homologue of the eukaryotic SRP54 protein).
Source: RNAcentral
ACACAGACCCUGUGCAAGGUCGUGUUGUGAACCAUGUCAGGCGGGGAACCGAGCAGCAUUAAGCAAAUUUUCGGCUUGUGCGCAGUAAGCCUGUGUUCA